This is a ribosomal RNA of 172 nucleotides. It matches the Rfam family "Bacterial large subunit ribosomal RNA", at positions 2754 to 2925 of the family's 2925-position model.
UGUGGACGGGAUAAGUGCUGAAAGCAUCUAAGCAUGAAGCCCCCCUCAAGAUGAGAUUUCCCAACUUCGGUUAUAAGAUCCCUCAAAGAUGAUGAGGUUAAUAGGUUCGAGGUGGAAGCAUGGUGACAUGUGGAGCUGACGAAUACUAAUCGAUCGAAGACUUAAUCAAAUU